This 8284-nucleotide long non-coding RNA is filed under the name Podarcis lilfordi (Lilford's wall lizard). Lineage: Eukaryota; Metazoa; Chordata; Lepidosauria; Squamata; Lacertidae. The record is from RNAcentral.
GGAACUUUCUGCUGUCAAUUAUAGCCUUUCUUCCACAAUUUUUUUGCAAUUCAGCCUAAGUUGUGCAGCUGGGGAGAAGGAGGAAGAAGAAGAAAAAGAGGAGUAGGAGGAGGAGGAGGAGGAGACAGUUGGUCCCAGAGCCAACUGAUAUGCCUACUCAGAUAUGUAAUUUUACUCUUUUUGCCUUAACGUUGCUGGUUUUACUUAUAUUGGGGGGGGUUGAUAUAUCAAUUUGCUUUUAAAGUUUUUUCUCAGUAUUUUUAAUACCUAACUCAUAUUGUUUUAUUUGAACUGCCUAGAGGUUUCCUCUGAUAAAGUAGUCCAUAAUACUACUUUAGUAUGGGAUAAUGUAGUCCCAUAAUGUAGUCUGUAGUCCGCUGGCAGUAGGAGUACAAUAUGGGCAUGUCUUUAAGUUAACAUCUUACAUUAAAAACCUGACAGUACCAAAUUAUCGAAGGCUUUUCACCAAAGCCAGACUAAACGUCUUUCCUUCUGCAGUGUUGGAUGGCAGGUUGAGAGGAGUUCCCUACCAGGACAGACUUUGCUCGUGUGCUCAAGACAUUGAUUCCAUAAAACAUAUUUUGUUGCACUGUGCAAAAUAUGAGCAAGCCAGGGCUGAACUGAUAUUACCCUUGCUGGUACCUUUCCCGGGAAAAUCAGAGGCUCACUAUGUCAGCUUCCUAUUGGAAGACCAGACAAAUGCUAGAACAUUAGCAGUGGCCAAGUUUUUUUUUUUUUUUUUUUUUAUAAUAUUUUUUAUUGCAUUUUUCCAGAUAGAAAUACAAGGUCAGAUAUACAAAGAAAUAACAGAAAAAAGAAAGAAAAAGAAGAAAAUCAUCUUUUCAAAACAUUUUUCCAUAACCAACCGGACUUCCCCCCGUCCCCCUCACCUUGCGUUCUUUACAAUAAAAUUUUUCAGCAAAUUAUAACCUUAUUUCGUGCAUUCUUUUGUUCUUUCAAAUACUUGUGAUUUGCGUUUAAAAUGCUUAUUGUCAAUUUACACUAAUAAUAUAUAUAAUGUUCUUUUAAACGUUAGUCCUUUCAUUAAUAUAGCUUAGUUUCCCAUACCUUAAUCUUAUUGCUGGAGCUGAAUUUCCUAAUCAUGCGAAUUCUUAACAUUCAUAUAACUUAUAAAAUUUUUGUAAAUAAUCUUUAAAUUUUUUCCAAUCCUCCUCCAUUGCUUCUUCCUCCAAAUCUCGGAUCCUGGCGGUCAUCUCGGCCAAUUCCAUGUAGCCCAUCAAUUGCGUCUGCCACUCUUCCAGCGUGGGUAAAUCUUGAGUCUUCCAGUAUUUUGCGAUAAGAAUUCUUGCUGCUGUAGUUGCAUACAUAAAAAAGGUUCUAUCCUUCUUUAACACCUUCUGACCGACAAUGCCCAGUAGGAAGGCCUCUGGUUUCUUGGGAAAAGUGUACUUAAACACUUUUUUUAACUCGUUAUAGAUCAUUUCCCAGAAGGCCUUCACUUUUGGGCAAGUCCACCAGAGGUGAAAGAAUGUCCCUUCAGCCUCCUUACAUUUCCAACAUUUAUUAUCAGACAAAUGAUAUAUCUUAGCAAGUUUGACUGGGGUCAUGUACCACCUGUAUAUCAUUUUCAUAAUAUUCUCUUUCAAGGCAUUACAUGCCGUGAAUUUCAUACCAGUGGUCCAUAACCUUUCCCAGUCUUCAAACAUAAUGUUGUACCCAAUGUCCUGAGCCCAUUUUAUCAUGGCUGAUUUAACUGUCUCAUCCUGAGUGUUCCAUUUAAGCAGCAAGAUAUACAUUCUCGAAAGUACCUUGGUCUUUGGUUCCAACAAUUCUGUCUCUAGUUUCGAUUUUUCCACCUGGAAACCUGUUCUUUUGUCCAGCUUAAAAACCUCUUGAAUUUGAGCAUAGUGAAGCCAAUUUUGCACCUUAUUCUUUAAUUUUUCAUAACUCUGCAGCCUCCAAGUUUCUCCUACUUUUUCUAUAAUUCCCCAUAUUUCAGCCAACCAACCUCCAUAUUAGGUUUUUUCCGGGCCUUGGCCUCUGCUGGUGAAAGCCACCUCGGAGUCUUACCCUCUAAUAAGUCCUUGUAUUUUGUCCAGACCAUAAAUAUUGAUUUUCUAACAAUAUGAUUUUUGAACAUUUNNNNNNNNNNNNNNNNNNNNNNNNNNNNNNNNNNNNNNNNNNNNNNNNNNNNNNNNNNNNNNNNNNNNNNNNNNNNNNNNNNNNNNNNNNNNNNNNNNNNAAAGGUCGGCGCUCAUCAGCAGCAGCCGCGCGGCUUCACUCCCGCAGAAAGAGCGAUGAACUCACAGCACCGCUCCCCCCUUCCACGUUUCCGGAGCCCCUUACGGGGUUCCUUCUUCGUUUUUGGGGUCGCUCCUGGUGCCCGCCGAGUCCCAGGGCCACGGGCUCACUCUGCCCGUGGUUUUCCUUAAUGGGUCACCGCUGUGCCGCAGCGGACGACCCUUUUCUGCGGAGCCCCUCUUCAGAGACCGAAGAGGACCGCCAUUGCCGUUUCGCGCCGCCUCCAGGAAGUCCCUCAGCAGUGGCCAAGUUUUUAUCGGUGGUUGCAAGAACCAAUGAUCCCUAUAUUCUGAACGAAAUGCUUGUUUAACCUGGAGGUAGGCUGUAUGAAUUGUGUAUUGCUUUGUAACAAUUUGUUGAUGAUGACGAUGACUUUAGUGGUGUGCUUGUGUGUACGUGUGCGCCUUAUUUUGGCAUGCCCAUGGAACUUCCUGAAUGACUUUUUCACAUUCUCUAUUGUACAGUGCACAAACACCGAAUUAUUCUGUGCCUCCUAAAGCUAAAAGAACUUUUUCUGAGAGAGCUUUCUCUAGCACAAUGAGGGAUGUGAGGUAAGAAGAAAGCUAUAAGAAAAUCUUGAAAUGUUGUGGAGGGGUCUCAAAACUGGAUGAUUGUUGUGGGUUGUUUUUUUUUUUGGAAGGGGUUACUUCUCUGGCAUGGGUCUUUGAAAGUGGGGAGACAUUUUUAGGUUGAAAUUUAGCACAUACCCAAGGACUAUAUCUGUUGCAGAUAUUAAUAUAAAAAUUGUGCCGUUUGAAGUGACUGAAUACAUGAAAACUGAGUCCUUUUGGAAUGAAAAUUUUAAUUGUUUAAGUUUAAUUCAAAAGUUAACUUGCAGAACUUUUUUUCAAAAAACAGAACCAAAGCACCAAAGAGACAUCCAAAAUAUCUAUACAAUGUAUUGUGCUGUCCAGCACAGGUUCAGCAUCGUAGAAGUAAAAUAAACUUAUAAUCCGAGCUGACAAACAUACCUCUUUCUUUCUUUCUUUCUUUCUUUCUUUCUUUCUUUCUUUCUUUCUCUCUCUCUCUCUCUCUCUCUCUCUCUCUCUCUCCCUCUCUCUGGCAUUGCAUUCCAGCCCCUUUAAAAGGUAAAGGGACCCCUGACCGUUAGGUCCAGUCGUGGCCGACUCUGGGGUUGCGGCACUCAUCUCACUUUAUUGGCCAAGGGAGCUGGCGUACAGCUUCCGGGUCAUGUGGGCAGCAUGACUAAGCCACUUCUGGCGAACCAGGGCACAGAAACGCCGUUUACCUUCCUGCCAGAGUGGUACCUAUUUAUUUACUUGCACUUUGACGUGCUUUCGAACUGCUAGGUUGGCAGGAGCAGGGACUGAGAAACGGGAGCUCACCCCAUCGCGGGGAUUCGAACCACCGACCUUCUGAUCGGCAAGUCCUAGGGUCUUUGGUUUAACCCACAGCACCACCCGCCCAGCCCCUUUAGCCUAGAGCUGUUUACCUGAAGCACUUCAUUUACAUCCUUACUCUCAGAGGGAAAAGGAGGGGGGGUGGAACAGCCCCACUCUCAGACCAGUGACUUGAAAUCCCUUGAAAUAACGGGGAAACAAAACACUAGAUUGGCCCAAAAAGACACAGAUUACGUAGCUCCAAGAUGGGAUCAGUCUGCUUUCCAAAGCUGCAAAUACCAGUCCAGUCUUGUGCCCAAAACACACCAUUAAUUGUUAGUGCUGAUCUGAUCCAUAAUGAUCCAUAAUGAUCUUUCAUUCCCCAGUUUAAAAUACACUUUUCCCUGUUCACUGCAUCUUAUUUCUUCCACUGCUCCCCCCCUUUUAAAAUCCAUUUUCCCCCUCUUGCUGUUACAGCAAGAAAGUAAAAGGUGACCUAGUUUUAACUUGUAGGGUCCUUUCCCUCUGAAUCAAUGCACUGCUCUAUGGGACAUUUGCAGAAAUCGUUCUAUCUUCUACUUGAUCAAACAAAUUGGGGAAGACGGAGGGGACGGGGACGGACAAAUCCAAAGGGGGGGGAGACAAAGACAAAUUAUUGUGGCUAUUGGGGAGAUUUCCUGUGCAUUUUCAUGAGUUCUAAAAAAUCACCUAUGCUACAAAAACACGCACAUAAGUCAUUCACGAAGCAUGGUGAUUGGAACGUAAAAUUGCCUUUCUUUCCGAAGUGAUGGCAUUCUGCGAUGAAUUCCAGGUCCUUGGCAAGUAUCCUGGAGGGCGAAAUAAUACAUAUGAUUAAGUGCUAUUUAUUGAUAGUCACAAAACAUUGUUUCUUGUGGCUAAAAUUAGAUGAUCUAAUUGGUUGCUAGGAUUUGGUUUGGGGAGAAAGCAGAGAUUAUUUUCAGCACAGCUAAAAACUAUUGUGAUCGGCAUGGCCACAGCAGUGUGGGUGGAUGCUGUGAAUCCAUAGGAAUAGAGAAAAAUGAGAGAUGUGGAUUGGGCGAGGAAUCUCUGGGAAGAAUUCAACAGAGCACUGUGGAGAUCGUUCCAUCAGCUUACCAGAUGGAACGGUCUCCCUUUCCUCCCCCUAUAGCAUGCUUUGCUGUGGGUUCUCCCAACCACCAUCACAUCCAAGACAAUUGGGGGUGCACAGGAGAUAGCAACAGGAGAUGCAUACUCUCCAAGUGUCCCUAUUUUCCGGGGACUGUCCUGGAUUUACAGAAGCUGUCCCAGUUUCUGAUAUGAUCCCAGAAUGUCCCGCUUUUCCUUAGGAUGUCCCUAUUUUCAUUGGAGGGUACGGAGUUAAGUUACCCCUGAGCAGGGCCGGAUUUAGGUUUGAUGAGGCCCUAAGCUACUGAAGGUAAUGGGGCCCUUUAUAUGUCCAGCUGUCUGUCAGCAACAAAUUGUUGCUGUUUUUUGUGUUGAAUAUAUGCUGUUUGGUAAUUUAUGGACCUAAUAGGUAUCCAAAGCCAUUUGCACAUGCAGAAUGUAGGCACCCUAUAUAUAGAAAAGAGCAAACCAGGGAUAUUUUAGGGAGCAGGCUAGCAGGCGGGGCCCAUGACUUGCAUCAUAGGAGCCUACACAACACAAAACCCUGUUGCUGUAUGUAGGUUUUAUUUUAUUUGUUUUUUAUCUUCUAUUUUGGAAAUGUACAUCCAGGUUGUUUUUUUCCUUUAAUUUUUUGGGGGGCCCCAAGAGCGUGAGGCCCCAAGCUAUAGCUUCUUUAGCUUAUACGUAAAUCCAGCACUGCCCCUGAGCCAAGGAGAUAAAUAACUAUACAAUCUUUAGAAGACAUCUGAAGGCAGCCCCAUAUAGGGAAGUUUUUAAAAAAUGUUUAAUGUUUUAUUAUGUUUUUAUAUAUGUUGGAAGCUGCCCAGAUUGCCUGUGACAACUUAAUAAAAUUAUUAGCAGUGGUAGUACUGUGAUACCUCGGUUUAAGAACAGCCCUGUUUACGAACUAUUCAGUAUACGAACUCCGCAAAACCGGAAGUGGUGUUCCGGUUAGUGAAUUUUACCUCGGUCUACGAACAGAAGCUGAAUGGUAGAAGGGCACUGGCGGUGGGAGGCCUCAUUAGGGAAAGCGGCAUCGGUUUAAGAAAGGCUUUGGUUUAAGAAUGGACUUCCGGAACAGAUUAAGUUCGUAAACCGAGGUACCACUGUAGUAUCAUCAUCCUUUUCAUCAUUGAACAGGACAUCCCUAUUUUCAUUGGAGAAAUGUUGGAGAGUAUGUAAACCUGGACACUGCAUACACUGUCCAAGUCCUUUCUUUGUGUGCCCUCUCCAAAGGAGGUGCAGAGGGUGGCAUCACAAGCAAGGGCCUUUUCAGUGGUGGCUCCUCACUUGUGGAAUGCUCUCCCCAAGGAAGCACACCUGGCACCAUUGUUGUCUGCUUUUAGGUGCCAGGUAUAAUCCUGUGCCUGAGGUUCCCCAUCUCUGCCCUGAAGCCCGAACACAUGAGUUUUUCCUGGGCGUGACAAUGUUCCAAUCCCUUGCUUCUCAAUCUGCUAAGGCUACCACGGGUCUCAUCCUGAACAGGCUGUAUCCCUCUCUAGAGUCUGAUGUCAGUGCCUUAUUCGUGCUCCAUUUCUUGUUUUUACAGCAUAGCUGGCAAAGUAUUCUCAUUCGAUUUCCUUUUUCGGUGAGUACCGAACCUCUUUUUCCUUUCCGUAAGACGGGAUGCUUGCUUAGCUUGUGUGAAUUGCACUUCAGGGAGACUAUGGAAGCUCCUGUUUCUUCUCAAAUAACAAGUUACAGGAGCAAGAACAAGGGUGUUAAGAUCACAUUUAAUUUUGAUGUUAAGGGGCAAGAAUGCAGCAGAUAAAAUAAAACAUCUAUGCGAAAGUAAUACGUUUCCCCCCAAAUGCAAUGACUCCUUCUGCGAGUCAUUUCCAUUUCCUUGCGAUAUUAAUCCAUUAGGUAACUGGGGGGGGGGGGUGAGCAGCAACUUGGUCUCCAUUGAAUAAAAGAAGUUACCAUCUGACCUUUUUUGCCUGCAGGAAACAUGGUGAAAUCCUUUUGGGAAACCAGCUGCUUACACCCUGGGUUUCCUAACAAUUUUCAAGUCUCUUUAAAAGCAAAUCAGACUCACUCACUCACUAGGAUACCUCUGGAGAGAUGAGACGUCGGGAUGAGAUGAGAGAUGGAUGUCGGGAGCUGGGCAUUCAACAACUAGGAUCACAGCACUGCCCAAUUCAGCCCUGCAAUUAGAUGACCUCUGAAGGAACCAAAGGCCAUGUUCACAAGAUCACUUUGUAUUUGUUAAAAUCAACAUAAGCUUACUUCUAUGAGCAAAAAGUGUUCUUUAUUAACUCAAAAGGGGGAGGGCAUUUUCAGGCCCGUGGACCAGAUAUUUAUCUCUCUCUCUCACCCCUGUAGGCCAAGUUUUAAAGGUGGGUGAUCAUCUGAUAUGCAGAGACCACUUGCAUCUAAAUUGGUGUGAUUUUUAAAAAUCCUAAUCUGUUUCUGAGACACUCUGUGCUCACUUCUCUUCAAUCUGUGCUCUGGGUUCCAAGCUGCUCCGUAUAAAAUGAAAUUAUGUGCUCCUCAUUCAUUACAAAUGGGAAAUUUUGAAAGUGGCUGUAACUUUUUUCUUUUUUGCAGAAGUUGAAAAGCAGGUGGUUCCCCUCCAGGGUAAGGACUCCCCACAGUUUACUGUGUAUUUAAAACUGUUUGUGUUUCCAUGUAGUUUGUGUAGUUCACAUGACAUUCCCUUCCAACAACACCAAUCUUGAUGCUUCCCUAUGUUAAAUUUAGGUUUAUCCAAAUUUAGGUUUAUUCAAUACAAGGAUAAUCUGAUGAAUGGAGGGAAAUCAGGUCCUAAACUGCAGCGCUCAGGGUUGCAGAUUAUUUCUUUUGGUGUUUGGUAGUGAGUGUACUUGUCACUUUCUGCGACUCCUCUUUCCAUGCCCACUACUUCCUCAGUGUUGUAAUAUAUAGUUAUUGGCUCACACUUGCAUGCACGAAAGGGUUAACCUGAGCCCAGAGCUCAGAUAGCCAGUGGGUGGAGCUAGCAAGUUCCCGGCAGCCUUUGCUCCACCCUCUUUCUGUCUCUCUUUGACAGAAAGAAAGAAAGCAGUCAUGUGUUUUCGUUCCCAGCUCAGCAAAAUGCUGCACAUGAAUGAAAAGUCUCUCUAAAAGAAUAUUUUUACAGCCUGCUGACCCAAAAAUUACAUGAUCCUUUUUGUAAGGAAACAAGUUUUCUUUUUAAAUUGUUUGGGAACUUUUCUUCUUCAUCAUUUUACUGCCAAUGGAUGGAGACUUGUUUGCUGUAACUCCUGAAACUCUGUGACUUAAUUCUUCACUUAUUUGCAAAGCUAAACAUCUGAGAUUUAUUCUAGCCUAACUAUUUUCAUGGGGAGCAUUUGCUUAAAGGUAGAUGAGGGCAGAUGUUAAUCUAACCAAAUUUUAAAGUGCUUGGUUCAAUUGUCAUUGUACUAACUCAGCUACUGGAGAGUAGGAAUCUCUCUUCCAAAUCUCUCUCUCCAAUGCUUUCAUUACUUUUCUUGUGCUUGUAAUUAUUUCUGGCUCAUUCCUGAAUGGAGGAGUGUAGCCUCCCCCCCUUUUUUUCUUUUGAUCACCCAAAUUUGUGCAAAACAAGCAAACCACAAUAAACACAAGCACACCAC